Passer domesticus (house sparrow) is the source of this 1149-nucleotide long non-coding RNA. RefSeq lists it as uncharacterized. The record is from RefSeq and is a predicted model, not a curated record. NCBI's taxonomy places the organism in Eukaryota, Metazoa, Chordata, Aves, Passeriformes, Passeridae. The transcript has 2 exons.
UCUGACCUGUCCAGAGGCUUUUUUCAGCUGGAGCCAACAUUUUCUCCCUCCAACCUCAUCACCUCCUCAAACACCUGACUGGGUGGUCCAACCCAUCAGCCACAUGUCCCCAUUUCUCCUUGGCAGCAGAAGAGCAGAAGUUUAGACUCAAGAAUAAUUUAACAAGCAGGACCACACACAGCUACAGGCACAGCAAGAACAGAGAAGAUAGCUGAGGUUUUCCUUUCACAACUGUUCUUUCUAAAUGCUUUUGAAUUUAAAAGUCAGUUUCACUGUUAUGAACUUAGAAAAUAUACAUUUAGUCCUUUAUGAGCAGACAGUUCUAUAUACUUUAUUAAGGGUUCCAUUUGCUUUAUUAAAUCCUUCAAAUUUCAUGCCUACUCUCCUCUCUACAGUGAGAAUACUACUAUUUUAUUUAAAGGCCAAGAUUAAGAUGUUCAUUUUUCACUUGCCCAGUAUUCUGAAAUGUCUGCACAAAUGUCAUCUGGAAGGUCUUACACACUUACAUAAACCAGAGGAGAAUCCUCAGACCUUACUGCAAUGCAGACAGCUGCAGUUUUACAUUUAACCUUAGCUGCAACAUUUCUGUAUUGGCAUGUUAAUUAAGAUAUAUAAAUAUGUACUUGAUCUAAAGCCCAGAAUACAUCCUGUCAAAUUCUUUUUUAACACAGUUUAUUCCAACAACAGACUACAGAGAAAAGAAAGCACUUACCCGAAUUAGAAUCUGGAAAAGACAAAUAGCAAAUAUUGGUUUUCUAAAGGGUAGGGAAAAGAAAAGAGAGCUGUUAUAUUUCCUGAGAUAUAAUGUAUUUACAUUUCCUAAGCUAAAACCAAAUUAUAUAUAGCAACUAUGACUUACCUCUUUAUCUGUGAGUUUGGAAUGUGGAGGGUAUAUCACCUACAGGAAAAAAGCAGUAUUAUUUUAUUUGAAAAUAAGCUGGGCAUAAGCAAUAAAUUUCCAUUAAAUAUUUUACCAGUACAACCCUCAAACAGCUAUAGGACAACCCCUUCCCAGCUGUAGGACAUUUUCAAUUGUAAGCUAUUAAUAUUAUAUCUCAGUUCUUAUCUUCAUAUGCUUUUAAGCUUUCUUGAUCACCCAUCUUUACAAGGUAUUUUGGAUGCCAGAUAGAGACCACACAUGCUCAUUUA